UGAAGAGCUCCUUGUUCGUAGU
Molecule: microRNA, 22 nt
Filed under: Monodelphis domestica (gray short-tailed opossum)
Lineage: Eukaryota; Metazoa; Chordata; Mammalia; Didelphimorphia; Didelphidae
Description: mdo-miR-7371p-3p
Source: miRBase by way of RNAcentral